RNAcentral lists this transfer RNA (83 nucleotides) under Chlamydia trachomatis. RNAcentral describes it as "tRNA-Leu(tag)". It matches the Rfam family "tRNA". From Rfam's summary of the family: Transfer RNA (tRNA) molecules are approximately 80 nucleotides in length. Their secondary structure includes four short double-helical elements and three loops (D, anti-codon, and T loops). Lineage: Bacteria; Pseudomonadati; Chlamydiota; Chlamydiia; Chlamydiales; Chlamydiaceae. The record is from RNAcentral. RNAcentral also lists the same sequence under 2 other names.
GCGGCUGUGGCGUAAUUGGUAGCCGCGCUAGACUUAGGAUCUAGUGGAGCAAUCCGUGGGGGUUCGAGUCCCUUCAGCCGCAC